AAUGAGUAUUAAGGCUCAUGGCGGAUAUCGUUAUUUUCUGACCUUCACAGAUGAUUUGAGCAUCAAGGUCGGCCAGUGAGACGAUGGGGGAUAAGCUUCAUUGUCGAGAGGAAAAUAGCUCGGAUCACCAGCUAAGGCCCCUAAAUGACCACUCAGUGAUAAAGGAGGUGGGGUGCAAAGACAGCCCGGAGGUUUGCCUAGAAGCAGCCACCCUUUAAAGAGUGCAUAAUAGCUCACUAUAUCUACUUGAUGAAACAUAAGUCUGAAAUAGUUGAAAGGUUCAAAGAAUUUCAGAGUGAAGUGGAA
RNAcentral lists this non-coding RNA (306 nucleotides) under Triticum aestivum (bread wheat). RNAcentral's name for it is "Bacterial large subunit ribosomal RNA". It matches the Rfam family "Bacterial large subunit ribosomal RNA", at positions 862 to 1230 of the family's 2925-position model. The record is from Rfam by way of RNAcentral. Lineage: Eukaryota; Viridiplantae; Streptophyta; Magnoliopsida; Poales; Poaceae.